RNAcentral lists this long non-coding RNA (1599 nucleotides) under Homo sapiens (human). RNAcentral describes it as "HSALNT0035196". Lineage: Eukaryota; Metazoa; Chordata; Mammalia; Primates; Hominidae. The record is from RNAcentral.
AAAUAUUUUUUUUUUUUGAGACAGAGUUUCACUCUGUUGCCCAGGCUGGAGUGCAGUGGCAAGAUCUCAGCUCACUGCAACCUUCGCCUCCCAGGUUCAAGCCAUUCUCCUGCCUCGGCCUCCCAAGUAGGUGGGACUACAAGCAUGCACCACUGCAUCCAGCUCAUUUUUGCAUUUUUAGUAGAGAUAGGGUCUCACCAUGUUGGCCAGGCUGGUCUUGAACUCCUGGCCUCAGGUGAUCCACCCACCUUGGCCUCCCAAAGUGCUGGGAUUACAGGCGUGAGCCACCAUGCCCAGCCAAAAGAGUGAUACAUUUUUUAAAGUAAUUUUUAGACACCAGAAUGUUUAGCAGUAAUGACUCUGGGAUUUCAAGCAUUAUUUAUCAACUGCUAUACCAUGGGCCAUGACUAAUCGGAACAAGGCACCAACUCUUAGAUCAGCACCAGGGGUCUGAAACCACCAGGAAGACACACCAAUCAAUACCAUAUUACAGUGAUUUCUGUAACAGUCUAUGCUGUCCUAUAUUUUCCAGGUUUUCUGUAAUGAACAUGUAUUAAUUUUAUACUUUAAAAGGCAGUAACUUUUUAAGCUAAUGUAAAAGUAAAAUUUCUUAACUUCCUUUUUUUAAAUGAACAGGCCUAUAGAGUAAUUAUAAAUUACUUUUCCUGAAAGUUAUGAAUUAUCAAUUUAAGCUUUAUAAGCUAUAAACACCUGUACGCCACUUAACCUGGAGAGGCAUUUAUUUAGACAAAUAUAAUUUUUAAUGUACUAAAUUUAUGUUUGCACAGUUUCAAAUUUUGCUAUAAACAAGGCUAUGAAAUAAGAAAAAAACUAGCAUUGCUUAAUUCCUCCCCACUCCUUGCCAAGAAAUAUUUAGAAAAGUAAGUAGAUACCUUUACAAAAAGGAACUGGGAGGAGGAGAGGACAACACAAAACCCAAAUUCAUAGAAUACAAGUUUUCAAAUUUCUUAAAAGUCGUAUUUCUUUGCAUCCUAUUCUGAAACAAUACUGUCCUCAUUUAACUUCUUAAUACUAUAUUAAGACUAAAUUGUACAAGGCAAGGGACUUCCAAGCUUCUCCCUCCCUGGCAAAAUGUCAUUUUCUAAACCAAGGAUGAGAUACCCCACUUUUAACUCUCCCAAACAUUGAAGCACAUGUAAGCAAUUAAGGUGAAAUCCUCACCUGACAUGAUAGGACCUCUCUCUUAUACCUCCAGGAUUGUACCCAGAAACCCACAUUUGUAUUUUCUUGACCUCAAUUCCCUGGCCACAGUUAACUGGCCAAAUAAGCAUAGGUUUUAUUCAAAGUCACUCUCCGCAGCUGCCUCCUAAUAAGAAAGUCAAUCUAUUUUUAACUCUAUUCACUAUUCUUCACUAUUCUAUGCCUCUUGCUAAGCUCUGGUAUCAAGAGUUGCCUUCUGUGAUGAUCAUUGUUAACAUCCGCCUUAAUGAAUCCUUGACAUCUGAGUACAAAUUUCACAGCAGCAUCCUUACUCACAAUAGCAGCUUCCUCAGAUAGCUUUAGUCAAUUCACAACUUCUGAACAUGAUAAAAGCAUCUUUUACUGGCUGUGAAGUUCUUCAAUAUCCUUGUAAUUACC